RNAcentral lists this ribosomal RNA (253 nucleotides) under uncultured bacterium. RNAcentral describes it as "partial 16S ribosomal RNA". It matches the Rfam family "Bacterial small subunit ribosomal RNA", at positions 524 to 776 of the family's 1533-position model. The record is from RNAcentral.
UACGGAGGAUCCAAGCGUUAUCCGGAAUCAUUGGGCUUAAAGGGUCCGUAGGCGGAUCUGUAAGUCAGUGGUGAAAUCUCCCCGCUUAACGGGGAAACUGCCAUUGAUACUGCAGAUCUUGAAUUAUUGGGAAGUAACUAGAAUAUGUAGUGUAGCGGUGAAAUGCUUAGAGAUUACAUGGAAUACCGAUUGCGAAGGCAGGUUACUGCCAAUACAUUGACGCUGAUGGACGAAAGCGUGGGUAGCGAACAGG